UUAAACAGUGACCGAAUGCAUUCUUACUAUUUUCUUAUUAUAUGUUGAUGUAAGGAUCGAAAAGGCAGAGGUUGUGAUGGUAUUAAUCGGUUGAUCCUGUUUAGGAAGGGACAGAAAGGCUAUGGCGGAGACGGGAGUACGGUGAAAACGAGGCUCUCCAUGGAGAAAGUAAUGAGAAAAAGAUGGAAAGGAGUGGAAGCCUCCCUUGUUGAACCUUCCUUCUCUCCUUUUUAUCCAUACGCUAGUUGUCUUCCAAAUUGAGGGAGAAGUUAUAGACAUUUAUUCAAGACACAAGUAUGGACAGAGC
Long non-coding RNA from Gossypium arboreum, 307 nucleotides. RefSeq lists it as uncharacterized. NCBI's taxonomy places the organism in Eukaryota, Viridiplantae, Streptophyta, Magnoliopsida, Malvales, Malvaceae. The record is from RefSeq and is a predicted model, not a curated record. The transcript is spliced from 2 exons.